UCCACUCCGGUCUCCGACUCCGGCACGAC
RNAcentral lists this small RNA (29 nucleotides) under Bombyx mori (domestic silkworm). RNAcentral describes it as "ovarian small RNA-3303". Lineage: Eukaryota; Metazoa; Arthropoda; Insecta; Lepidoptera; Bombycidae. The record is from RNAcentral.